This is a long non-coding RNA of Mus musculus (house mouse), 2867 nucleotides long. RefSeq annotates it as RIKEN cDNA 1700010G06 gene. The record is from RefSeq and is a predicted model, not a curated record. The transcript is spliced from 2 exons. Lineage: Eukaryota; Metazoa; Chordata; Mammalia; Rodentia; Muridae.
AUUCCAGAAGAGAAUCCUAGCUCAUUUCUCACAGCAUCUGGAAAAUUCUAGCCCUCCCAGCUCCAGCCGGUUUGCUCCCACACCUGGCUCUGCAGAUGAACGAGUCAAGAUUAUUCCAAGCUCAGCAGUGGUAAACAGCCAGGGAUUUCUUUCUGAAUUCACCGGAGAGCCCAAACUGCCGCCACCAAUUGCUGUUUCAGUUUCCUCCGAAGAUUAUGUUAUGUAUCUGCCCCUCCCCUGCCUCCUCCAGCCAAGAGGGGACUAUAUGAACAAUGAGAUAUUGUGCUCUGGUAAGCAUAUACCUCCUUAGACUGGUCUGCAAUUAGAAUUUCAAAGCUUCGCACCUCAACCCACCAUCUCUGGGGUUCAUGGACCAUAAUCCUCUUUAAAUUUGAAACCAUGCCCUGGUGCAAAACCAUCUGCACCUCCCUUUUUCUCAAAUACCCCGAACGCCAUUCCUGGAUAUCUAAAAGCAAAUAGAGUCUGGCGUGGGCAAAGCUGAAAGGCUGGGUUUCUUUACAGGGAACUACCCAGAAAUACACACUUAUCCUCUCCAAAGCCAGAAAAAGACACGUGCACACAGACUCGAGCUUCUGUGAACCCGGCUUAUAUAAAGCAAGCGCCGUCUACGCUGUCGUCAUUAUAAUCCCCCUCAAAGACUGUUUAUUACCCUAGGCCUCUCUCAUUCUGCUAAGCACUGUCCAGAGCAGCAAGCUACUCAGCCUGCAAGGAUGCUUUGUGUCCUGGAAGUGAAGCACCAAGAACAGGACAAGCUUGUUCCUAUGGACACCAUUAGCACUGCUGACCACCGUCACCUGGGAAUUGACUCCGAGUCAUAUUUCUACUCACAAGGCUCGCUCUCCCAUCUACUUUGGAACCAAAGAAGCUUGCUUGCAAGAGGACUGACAGCGAUCCAAACCUAGGGAGUGGGAGGUGAGCAGCCAAAGGUGCUCUCUAAGCCUGGAACCCCAUUGCUGCUCUGAGCCACAACUUCAGCCAACCACCGCACUCAUCCAAUCUCUCCUGGAACCAGCAAAGGCAAAAUGCUUCAAGUUCCUGGAACUCGAGUUUCUCCACUCUGUCCCUGGCCUUGUUUUCUCGUGUGUCAAAUUAGGGUAAUCAGAUUGUUAGAAGAAAUGGGAAAAGAUUCGGCUAAAGGUGUUGACACAGAGUGAAUUCUCUUUGAACAUUUCUUGUGUGAAGCGUGGCUAUAAAUGCAUCGCCUGUCAUCCUACAACUCAGAUAUCUCUAAAUUAGUUACCUGGAUACCUGGAUGAUGGAAGGAGGUGAGGGGAAGGAAGGACUACUCUAUAACCUCCAGAAUCUGGGAUCUCAGAUGUAGGAGUAAGUAGUGUUUGGAAGAUUUGCUUACUCUUGUAAGAGGACAGACCCCAUAGUGAUCAGUCUGGAUUUUGGAAAUUAAGUGAACAAGAAUGCCAAGUAGGAUCAAUUCCAGUCAGGAUCAGAAACAAAUCACUGAGGCCCACCAUGAGAUGGUCCAGAGAGUUAAGGCCUUGCCACCAACUCUGACAACCUGGGUUCAAUCCAUGGAACCCAUGGUAAGAGGAGAGAACAGCAUCCUCAAACUGUCCUCUGACCACAUACACACAUGGCACAUACGUACCUAGACACAGACACACACACACACAUACACACACACACACACACACAUACACACACACACACACACACAUACACACACACACAUACACACACACACACACACACACACACACACACACAAGUGAGUUCUUAGAACCAAAGCUCUUAUAAAGAAGGAUGUUUUAAGCUGGGUAACUUCUAAUGAUCCCAUUCCCAGAAAGGAGCGUUGAUUUAUGUAAGAGUGGAUUUUCAAAUGCAAAUGACAUGGGCUCACAUCGCUGCCACAUAUCAGCUAUCGGACCUUAUUAAAGUGAUUUACUUCUCUGAGUUUUGGGACAGACACACACACACACAUACACACAGGACACAACACAAUGAUAGGGUCCAUCUACAAGAAUGAACAAGCUAAGAAAUAUAAAGUACUUAACAGGGCCUAAGACAUCCUAAGUCGGGCCGGGCGUGGUGGCGCAUGCCUUUAAUCCCAGCACUUGGGAGGCAGAGGCAGGUGGAUUUCUGAGUUCGAGGCCAGCCUGGUCUACAGAGUGAGUUCCAGGACAGCCAGGGCUACACAGAGAAACCCUGUCUCGAAAAACCAAAAAAAAAAAAAAGACAUCCUAAGUCGAAGCCAUAUUUCCAAUAUUAUAAUGGGAACUUGAAACCUGUAUAUGGAGAUAGAAAUUCUGAUAUUUCUAGCUUAUGUUCCCCUUUUGAACCCUCAUGGCAAAUUCGUAUGUAAGUUUUAAUUAUCUAAUGUUUACCACAGAGAAAACCAAGACUGGAGGACAGGCCAGGACCCUUCUACCCGAGCGCCUAUCCUUAGCCAGUCACUGCACUAGUGGUAUGCACACACUGACUGAAACCACCACUUAGUCCUGAGGUGCAGCCACCACAGCAACAGGAGUGGCAACACAAUGAAAUCAAACUGCAAGUUUUUACGCUUGAGCCUGAAAGGCCUGCAAAAUUGGUCUCUUUUGCUGUAUGGAGCUAGAUAGUGAUGCUAUCCUGGAUACUGUAUUUCCCAUCACAGGUAACCAAGGAAACCUUAUGCAUUUCACUUGUUAACUCAUAGAUUUGUUUUCUAUCAGCUUCUACAGGAAGGGAAAGUCCUUCCCGGGCAGCAGUGAUGUAUCUGACUCUAUGUGUUAUUCCAUUAGGCUCGUGUUACCACACUCUCCUCGAAAGAAAGGCGGUUUUUUCCAUGUUCUUUGUACGAGUGUUUCCCAAGUGCACUUAUACAAUUUCAUGUAAUAUAUUCUUAAAGCCUG